GACGAACGCUGACGGUGUGCUUUAGACAUGCAAGUCGAACGAGAAAGCCCUUCGGGUUAGUAAAGUGGCGAACGGGUGAGUAACACGUGGGCGAAUCUGCCCUCGCAGGGGGACAACCGGAGGAAACUCCGGCUAAUACCCGUAAGUUCAAAGGGAGGCAUCUCUCUUCGAAGAAAGGUAGCUUCGGCCAUCCGGCGAGGGAUGAGCCCGCGGUGCAUUAGCUAGUUGGUGGGGUAACGGCCUACCAAGGCGACGAUGCAUAGCUGGUCUGAGAGGAUGAUCAGCCACACUGGGACUGAGACACGGCCCAGACUCCUACGGGAGGCAGCAGUCGGGAAUCUUGCGCAAUGGGCGAAAGCCUGACGCAGCAACACCGUGUGU
Molecule: ribosomal RNA, 381 nt
Filed under: uncultured bacterium
Lineage: Bacteria
Description: bacterial SSU rRNA
Rfam family: Bacterial small subunit ribosomal RNA
Source: RNAcentral